This 123-nucleotide small nuclear RNA is filed under the name Erinaceus europaeus (western European hedgehog). RNAcentral's name for it is "U2 spliceosomal RNA (ENSEEUG00000023550.1)". The stretch from base 1 to 110 matches the Rfam family "U2 spliceosomal RNA". Rfam says of the family: U2 is a small nuclear RNA (snRNA) component of the spliceosome (involved in pre-mRNA splicing). Complementary binding between U2 snRNA (in an area lying towards the 5' end but 3' to hairpin I) and the branchpoint sequence (BPS) of the intron results the bulging out of an unpaired adenosine, on the BPS, which initiates a nucleophilic attack at the intronic 5' splice site, thus starting the first of two transesterification reactions that mediate splicing. The record is from RNAcentral. Lineage: Eukaryota; Metazoa; Chordata; Mammalia; Eulipotyphla; Erinaceidae.
ACCGCUUCUCGGCCUUUUGGCUAAGAUCAAGUAUAGUAUCUUUUCUAUCAGAAUAGAUUUUAUUUGAACAGAAAGCUCAGUGGUUACAGUGACCUUAAAGAAUACUCUCUCAGCCUGAAGGCU